CAGGGAUUUAGCUCAGUGGUUCCACCUCCUGCCUCCCAAGCACAAGGUCCCAAAUUCGAACCCCGGUACCCCCCCAAAAAGGGGGGGGGGCGGGAAUUUUGCUCGGUGGUGCCACACCUGCCUUGCAAGUGAAAGGUCCUGAGUUUGAUCCCUAGCACCAAAAAAAAGAAAGAAAGAAAUGGAGAUUUUGAACAUCCUACCUAGAAUUUAAACCCAGUUGUUGCAUGGUAAUGCCUAUGCCCAUAACCACUGCAUUGUACUGUCUCCUGAAUGUGAUACCCCCAGAGAAAGUGGUGCUUGAAUUUACCCAGGUCCUCCAAAAGGAUAUACUCCCUCUGCUCCAGAAGAAAUAGAUCCAAAUACUUAUCAGUCCAAAAUUUCAUCUUCAAGUCAUGUGUGGUGAUACACUCCUACAAUCCUAGCAUUCAGGAGCCUGAGGCAAGAGGAGCCCAAAUUUUAGCCCAGCCUGGGCCACAUAGCAAAUUCAAAGCCAAAGAAAGUCACUUUUCAGUCUCUAUAAACAGACCCUGAAAACUGUCCUCUUCCCUUUCACAGACAUCUGCUAGACUAAGGAAUUAAAAGAAUCUAUUUAAGGACAAGUGACAACUGUGGAUGCCCAAUUGGUUGGGUUAUUGAGGAACCAGGUUUUGAGAGACUGUGAGCCCUGCAGGGCUGGGAAUCUGGCUGAUCAGUGGUUUGGCAAAUAAGGUCCUAGGUUUCCAAAUGAACUGAUAACUGAUACUCUACAACUCUGUGCUGGGAAGCCUAUUUUUGAGUACUAGAGAUUGAACCCAGGGCUGCAGCAAAUGUUAGAUGGCGAAGCCCAACCGACCUCCAUUGCUGCUUGACAAAGUUCCAGCUGGGGGAAAGAAAGGGUGGAACACAUCGUACCCUCAUGUUUUAUUUUUUCUUGCCAUAAUGUUUAAAAUUGUUACUCUGGUCACAGGAGUCAUUGUGUUUGUGACUAACAAUAAACUCUCCAUGAGGCAAAUUGGCAAUGAUAUAUUGAAAUUUGAUCGGGCUCAAAAGUCUCAAAUUCCAGUUUCUCUUAGUUCUAUUGCCACAUCCACUCCUAAAGAAACCUCUCCUAAAACUCCCUCUGUUUUCCCACUAACUAUAACUCCCUCUCUUAUUGCUGACGUUCCUUUUACUAAAGGGGUCUUAUAAAGAAAUUAGAAGGAUAGACUUUAGAUGUAAGUAAUAGUGGGAAAUGAGAAAUGGAGAGAAAGUUAAGACAGGCAAAUACAUUAAGGGGGCAAGUUAUUCAAUAUUUCUCACAGUGCUGAAAAUAUUUCCUGCUCAUGAACUAUGAACCCGAAUGACACUUAGGUAAGAUAGAUAGAGGUAUAGGAAAGUAGAGAGCUAAUAGCAAACUAUAUUAACCAUUGUGCAGUUUCUCAAGGGCUAGCUGGUGACCACAAUUUUGACAUUUAAUUAAUUAAAUCUUGCUUGUACCCCCACUGAUAUAGAGAUUUUGAUUAAGUUACAUUUUGUUCUGCUUAGGUAUGGGAAAAUAAGGGGACAAUUGUAAUUUUUAAGAUAUGUAUUCAUGAUGUUCAAUGAAAUGAAUCAGCUUAGAAAAAAUAUACUGUUUAAUAAGAAAUAACUUUUACCUCACUAGAUAUUGCUAAGGCAACCUAAAAUGUAAACAUGUUCCGCCCAAUGCCUCUUAGCUAUUGCUUAAAGAUAUAAAAAUAAAUCGGACCCUGAGACUUCUCAGAGGGAACCUGAA
Heterocephalus glaber (naked mole-rat) is the source of this 1732-nucleotide long non-coding RNA. The record is from Ensembl. NCBI's taxonomy places the organism in Eukaryota, Metazoa, Chordata, Mammalia, Rodentia, Bathyergidae.